Molecule: long non-coding RNA, 341 nt
Filed under: Amborella trichopoda
Lineage: Eukaryota; Viridiplantae; Streptophyta; Magnoliopsida; Amborellales; Amborellaceae
Description: long non-coding RNA (ATRI_LNC005192)
Source: RNAcentral
UUUGAUGUUCUCAACAAACUUGAUAAAAAUAAAAAAGCAAAGAAGAAAGGCCUCAUAGUAAAACUUUAGAAAAUAUGAACCAAAGGGUAAUUCUUCAAAUUUAACCAGGUCCCCACAUAAAAUUCCCUUUAUUUUUAACAUCAUCUAACAAUUCUAAAGUAAAUCAUAAAAUAGUAAAAACGAAGAAAUCUCUUCUAUGGAGACCAUUUGCCAGAGGAAGCAGGUACAUAACGUGCUCCUGCAGGAGUACACGCUCAACUUAUAAUCAUAUGUAUCAAUUUAGGUUUCAAAUGGGGUUUUCAAAUUGGGUGGGUUGGGGUUACCUUAUACACAAAAGAUGU